RNAcentral lists this unclassified non-coding RNA (164 nucleotides) under uncultured Fusicolla. RNAcentral's name for it is "sequence contains ITS2". The record is from RNAcentral. Lineage: Eukaryota; Fungi; Ascomycota; Sordariomycetes; Hypocreales; Nectriaceae.
CAACCCUCAAGCCCCCGGGCUUGGUGUUGGGGCUCGGCCCGUCCCUCGCGGCGCGCCGUCCCCGAAAUCUAGUGGCGGUCUCGCUGCAGCCUCCCCUGCGUAGUAGCUAACACUCGCGGCGGGAACUGCGCGGGGCCACGCCGUUAAACCCCCAACUUUCUGAU